Molecule: ribosomal RNA, 433 nt
Filed under: uncultured bacterium
Lineage: Bacteria
Description: partial 16S ribosomal RNA
Rfam family: Bacterial small subunit ribosomal RNA
Source: RNAcentral
AACGAACGCUGGCGGCAUGCCUAAUACCUGCAAGUCGACCGAGACCUUCGGGUCUUGUUGCGAACGGGUGCGUAACGCGUGGGAAUCUGCCCCUAGGUUCGGCAUAACUUCCUGACAUGGGUGGUAAUACCGGAUCCUGUCUUCGGACCUAAGAUUUAACGCCUUUGGCUGGGCCCGCGUUGGAUUAGCUAGUUGGUAGGGUAAACGCCUACCAAGGCGACGAUCCAUAGCUGGUCUGAGAGGAUGAUCAGCCACACUGGGACUGAGACACGGCCCAGACUCCUACGGGAGGCAGCAGUGGGGAAUAUAGGACAAUGAGCGAAAGCCUGAGCCAGCAAUGCCGCGAGAGUGAGGAAGGCCUUAGGGUUGUAAAGCUCUUUUACCCGAGAUGAUAAUGACGGUACCGGGAGAAUAAGCUCCGGCUAACUCCGUG